UACUCCUACGGGAGGCAGCAGUAGGGAAUCUUCGGCAAUGGACGGAAGUCUGACCGAGCAACGCCGCGUGAGUGAAGAAGGUUUUCGGAUCGUAAAGCUCUGUUGUAAGAGAAGAACGAGUGUGAGAGUGGAAAGUUCACACUGUGACGGUAUCUUACCAGAAAGGGACGGCUAACUACGUGCCAGCAGCCGCGGUAAUACGUAGGUCCCGAGCGUUGUCCGGAUUUAUUGGGCGUAAAGCGAGCGCAGGCGGUUAGAUAAGUCUGAAGUUAAAGGCUGUGGCUUAACCAUAGUACGCUUUGGAAACUGUUUAACUUGAGUGCAAGAGGGGAGAGUGGAAUUCCAUGUGUAGCGGUGAAAUGCGUAGAUAUAUGGAGGAACACCGGUGGCGAAAGCGGCUCUCUGGCUUGUAACUGACGCUGAGGCUCGAAAGCGUGGGGAGCAAACAGGAUUAGACACCCUGGUAGUCCACGCCGUAAACGAUGAGUGCUAGGUGUUAGACCCUUUCCGGGGUUUAGUGCCGUAGCUAACGCAUUAAGCACUCCGCCUGGGGAGUACGACCGCAAGGUUGAAACUCAAAGGAAUUGACGGA
This 592-nucleotide ribosomal RNA is filed under the name uncultured bacterium. RNAcentral's name for it is "bacterial SSU rRNA". It matches the Rfam family "Bacterial small subunit ribosomal RNA", at positions 334 to 917 of the family's 1533-position model. The record is from RNAcentral.